AUUGAACGCUGGCGGCAUGCUUUACACAUGCAAGUCGAACGGUAACAGGUUAAGCUGACGAGUGGCGAACGGGUGAGUAAUGCAUCGGAACGUGCCCGGUCGUGGGGGAUAACGCAGCGAAAGCUGCGCUAAUACCGCAUACGAUCUGAGGAUGAAAGCGGGGGACCGUAAGGCCUCGCGCGAUCGGAGCGGCCGAUGUCAGAUUAGGUAGUUGGUGGGGUAAAGGCUCACCAAGCCAACGAUCUGUAGCUGGUCUGAGAGGACGACCAGCCACACUGGGACUGAGAAACGGCCCAGACUCCUACGGGAGGCAGCAGUGGGGAAUUUUGGACAAUGGGCGAAAGCCUGAUCCAGCAAUGCCGCGUGCAGGAAGAAGGCCUUCGGGUUGUAAACUGCUUUUGUACGGAGCGAAAAGGCUCUCUCUAAUACAGGGGGCUCAUGACGGUACCGUAAGAAUAAGCACCGGCUAACUACGUGCCAGCCGCCGCAGUAA
This 493-nucleotide ribosomal RNA is filed under the name uncultured bacterium. RNAcentral's name for it is "partial 16S ribosomal RNA". It matches the Rfam family "Bacterial small subunit ribosomal RNA", at positions 29 to 523 of the family's 1533-position model. The record is from RNAcentral.